GAGUGGAGCUCGUGGGGUUCGGAAGGAGAUUUUUCGCACGAUCGAGCGAAACGGAGCUCUCGGAGAGAUCUCGAUCGCUUCCUCCAAACCCUGAGAACGAGAGGGCAUGAAGAUGAGAAAACAAAAACCAUUUGAAACGAGCUCUUUGAUGAGAAAAACAAUACAGUCAAAGUACAUAGAAGGAUCACUUACUGGGCAGAAUUCUUGGCCAAGAGAUGGAAAACCGAUUCCAAGAAAUGUUUAGAAAUUUCGGAGAGCUUAACCUGAUAUGCCGAUGACGCUGUUCCGAAGGCGAAAUCUUCUGGGAAGCUGCUCCUUUGGAGUGUAGCAGAUCGAUGUUGAUGCAAUCCUUCACAAUAUAACAUCCAUGGAGCCAAGAGGAGGAAGAAGAGACGAAGAAGAGCUUUCGAUGCCUCCAUGCUCUCUGUGUCACCCAAGGAGCCGUUACCCGAUGCAAACCGCGCAGUAUGGGCUCUUUAUAUACAACUAUACAAGGCAAGAUGGAUCCCAUUUUCCAACUUUGCUAGCAAGAGAAGUUUAUUGCUUGGGCGACGUCUACCACGUCACUCAUGAACCGCAUCAAUUAAAAUGCAAGCAAAACAUAAGAAUUAAGUUCGAGUUGCUGCUUUUUAAGUCUCAAACUUUUGUUCCUUUAUUGAAGAAACGAGACUAAACAGGCACUUAAAAGAUCGAAAUCUCAAAAUUCGGAGCGCAAAAGGCCAGGGCUAGCUGGGGGGAAUUGGCACCAGUAGUAUGCAAUAUCACUUGCUUAUCUCCUACUUGGUCAAAACCAAAUUAAUCCAUUGUGUGUUCGUGGGUCCAGUGCACUAAGGCCUGCAGGGAAAAGGGGGGGACAACACAUCUCAUGGGGCCUUGGCUAAUUUGCUUAUUCUUACGUCCUCAAUUUUAGCGGUGGAAAAAGAAAUGCUGGGCCCGAGCAUCUCCCCAGCCUUAUUUAAAUCGGCAACUCGUGAGUAUGUACAGUACUAGACACCAUUAUUAGUAGAACCAGUACAAGGCGAAUGAUUGUGGAGGAGAUUGUUACAAACAGAAGGGAGAACCAAGUACAAGAAAAAAAUUGUGUAUAAAUAAUCUGUAUUAUUACUAGGAUGGUUAUUUAUUUAUUUAUUUAUUUUUGGUUGUAAGAAUAGAACAAAUUAAAAGUAAAUUAUCCUCGGAGAAUAAUAAGCCUGAUUCGAA
Ananas comosus (pineapple) is the source of this 1200-nucleotide long non-coding RNA. RefSeq lists it as uncharacterized. The transcript has 4 exons. Lineage: Eukaryota; Viridiplantae; Streptophyta; Magnoliopsida; Poales; Bromeliaceae. The record is from RefSeq and is a predicted model, not a curated record.